This 372-nucleotide ribosomal RNA is filed under the name uncultured organism. Its description in RNAcentral is "bacterial SSU rRNA". It matches the Rfam family "Bacterial small subunit ribosomal RNA", at positions 526 to 896 of the family's 1533-position model. The record is from RNAcentral.
CAGAGGGUGCAAGCGUUGUUCGGAAUUAUUGGGCGUAAAGCGCGUGUAGGCGGCUUUGCAAGUCGGGUGUGAAAUCCCUCAGCUUAACUGAGGAAGUGCGCCCGAAACUGCAGAGCUUGAGUGCCGGAGAGGGUGGCGGAAUUCCCCAAGUAGAGGUGAAAUUCGUAGAUAUGGGGAGGAACACCGGUGGCGAAGGCGGCCACCUGGCCGGUAACUGACGCUGAGACGCGAAAGCAUGGGGAGCAAACAGGAUUAGAUACCCUGGUAGUCCAUGCCGUAAACGAUGAGAACUAGGUGUCGUGGGUGUUGACCCCCGCGGUGCCGUAGCUAACGCAUUAAGUUCUCCGCCUGGGAAGUACGGCCGCAAGGCUA